RNAcentral lists this non-coding RNA (362 nucleotides) under Moesziomyces antarcticus. RNAcentral describes it as "Pseudozyma antarctica Bacterial large subunit ribosomal RNA". It matches the Rfam family "Bacterial large subunit ribosomal RNA", at positions 1 to 439 of the family's 2925-position model. The record is from Rfam by way of RNAcentral. Lineage: Eukaryota; Fungi; Basidiomycota; Ustilaginomycetes; Ustilaginales; Ustilaginaceae.
GGUUAAGUAAUUAAAGGGAUUAUUAGGGAUGCCUAGCAGAUAUGUUGAAAAGGAAGUAUAAUACUAAAAGUAUAGAUACAAUCAGAAUAUUUAUACAAUCCUAAGGUAAACCGAAUAGUAUAGAACGUUGGGAAGUAAAACAUUACAGUACCAAUAGGAAAGGAAAUCAAAAGAGACUCUGGAAGUAAUGGUGAGUGAAACCAGAAUAGCCUAAAUUUUUAGUGACACACAUAGUACUUUGGAAUAAGUAGACUCGUACGUAUAAAAUAAUAAUUAUAGGUAUCGACCCAUAGAAGGUGAAAGUCCUGUAUGUGAUGAAACUAGAAAAGUAAUUAAGUAAUAUGAGGACGUCAGCCUUGUAU